Cladorrhinum sp. PSN259 is the source of this 75-nucleotide non-coding RNA. The record is from the annotation of a GenBank genome assembly. NCBI's taxonomy places the organism in Eukaryota, Fungi, Ascomycota, Sordariomycetes, Sordariales, Podosporaceae.
GACCUUCUGGCGUAACGGUCAGCGCGUUCCUGGGUAUGCCCAGGAAAGAACCCGGUUCGACUCCGGGGUUGGUCA